UACGUAGGGUGCAAGCGUUGUCCGGAAUUAUUGGGCGUAAAGAGCUCGUAGGCGGUCUGUCGCGUCGGCUGUGAAAACCCGGAGCUCAACUCCGGGCCUGCAGUCGAUACGGGCAAACUAGAGUACUGCAGGGGAGACUGGAAUUCCUGGUGUAGCGGUGAAAUGCGCAGAUAUCAGGAGGAACACCGGUGGCGAAGGCGGGUCUCUGGGCAGUAACUGACGCUGAGGAGCGAAAGCGUGGGGAGCGAACAGG
This 253-nucleotide ribosomal RNA is filed under the name uncultured bacterium. RNAcentral describes it as "partial 16S ribosomal RNA". It matches the Rfam family "Bacterial small subunit ribosomal RNA", at positions 524 to 776 of the family's 1533-position model. The record is from RNAcentral.